CUCGAAUGUGGAGAAGGGCCACG
This 23-nucleotide non-coding RNA is filed under the name Cricetulus griseus (Chinese hamster). Lineage: Eukaryota; Metazoa; Chordata; Mammalia; Rodentia; Cricetidae. The record is from RNAcentral.